RNAcentral lists this non-coding RNA (24 nucleotides) under Arabidopsis thaliana (thale cress). Lineage: Eukaryota; Viridiplantae; Streptophyta; Magnoliopsida; Brassicales; Brassicaceae. The record is from RNAcentral.
AGUUAGAUUGUAACCGCUAUUGAU